Molecule: transfer RNA, 83 nt
Filed under: Rhizobium leguminosarum
Lineage: Bacteria; Pseudomonadati; Pseudomonadota; Alphaproteobacteria; Hyphomicrobiales; Rhizobiaceae
Description: tRNA-Ser
Rfam family: tRNA
About the family: Transfer RNA (tRNA) molecules are approximately 80 nucleotides in length. Their secondary structure includes four short double-helical elements and three loops (D, anti-codon, and T loops). Further hydrogen bonds mediate the characteristic L-shaped molecular structure. tRNAs have two regions of fundamental functional importance: the anti-codon, which is responsible for specific mRNA codon recognition, and the 3' end, to which the tRNAs corresponding amino acid is attached (by aminoacyl-tRNA synthetases). tRNAs cope with the degeneracy of the genetic code in two manners: having more than one tRNA (with a specific anti-codon) for a particular amino acid; and 'wobble' base-pairing, i.e. permitting non-standard base-pairing at the 3rd anti-codon position.
Source: RNAcentral
GGAGAGGUGGCAGAGUGGUCGAAUGCACCGCACUCGAAAUGCGGCAUACCUGCAAGGGUAUCGUGGGUUCAAAUCCCACCCUC